This 550-nucleotide long non-coding RNA is filed under the name Eucalyptus grandis. RNAcentral describes it as "long non-coding RNA (EGRA_LNC004972)". Lineage: Eukaryota; Viridiplantae; Streptophyta; Magnoliopsida; Myrtales; Myrtaceae. The record is from RNAcentral.
AAAAAGUCGAAAGGAGAAAUCGUGGUGGCUGGGAAAUUGAUAAUUUCAGAGAGAACACUCGAGAUGGAGAGACAGGGUGUGGGUCGUCUUCUUCCUUAGACGACUGCUACCGAGCCCCUACAUCUCCGCGACUCGACGAGUUUUUUUGCCAUAAGCUUCACGCCAACGCAACGCUGCAGGAUCUUGUUGCCGAUUUACCACUUGCACUGCUUCCGCAAGCCCAAGUUGCUGCUGUUUGUGAUCCACAGCCCGAGCCGACGACAACUGAGCUUGCCGCUCCGGUGUGCCGCCGCUGCCCAUCACGUCGCUGACGACACCAGCAAGCCAUCUAAAAUUUCAGAUUUGUGUGAAGGUGUCUCUUGCGGGUCUUUCCAGCGAGUUUCCUGCAACGAGCAAUUUUGGUCGGGUCACAUCAAGUUGCGGCAACGUGUUUGGUUCCAUACGAUGGAGACCGAUCCUGUGAAGUCCUGAUUUUCAUUGUUCCUAUAGGCUUUUUGGCAUGUUAUCCCACGGUUUCAUCGCUCAUUGCAUGCACAGAAGACGUCAUAUU